Non-coding RNA from Pelobates cultripes (western spadefoot toad), 638 nucleotides. NCBI's taxonomy places the organism in Eukaryota, Metazoa, Chordata, Amphibia, Anura, Pelobatidae. The record is from the annotation of a GenBank genome assembly.
UUAUUAUAUAUACACACACACACACAUAAAAAUAUGCUUACUAUGACAUAUAUAUGAUAUAUAGACAUUAUAUAGAUAUAAGUCUAUAUAUCAUAUUAAUAUACACAUAUAAUUAUUAUUAUUUUUUUAAUUAACAUUAACUUUAAUUUUUUAUUUUACACUAGCAGGGAGACUGCCUGUCAGAACGCCAAAAGCGCGCACACAAGGGCCACCCAGAACUCGCUCAACUCCCAUCAAGCCAAGUUCCCGGAGGAGAUCACCCAGCUCGUCAUGCUAGAGCACUUUUUCAAUGUGCUCCCCAACGAGAAAGCGACAACGGAUUCGUAUGUCAAUCCAUAUAAAGUUUAGAUGCCAUUGACUGCGCCUACCAUGGUGACCACAAGAAACAGGGAAUCAGGGUUCGAUUCCAUACAGGGACCCUGACAAACGGCUACCACAUGCAAGGAAGGCAGCAGACGCGCAAAUGACCCACUCCUGCGCGGGAAGGUAGUGACGACAAAUAACAAUACAGGACUCUUUAGAGGCCCUGUAAUUGUAAUGAGUCCACUUGAAAUCCUUUAACUCUAAUCAAUUGGAGGGAAGUCUGGUGCAGAGCCACUGACCCGUGCGUGCUGCAGCUGAAACUCCACUAUCUCCUG